UUCUGGGAGGACUGACAGAUUGAGCUGUUUCUUGAUUCGGUGGAUGGUGGUGCAUGUCCGUUCUUAGUCGGUGGAGGGAUUUGUCUGGUGAAUUCUUAUAGCGAACGAGACUCUAGCCUAUUAAAUAGGUGCGUGGUUCUCUGCACCUUGCACACUUCUUAGAGGAACAAGCGGCUCCUAGCCACUUGAAACAGAGCAAUAACAGGUAUACGAUGCCCUUAUAU
RNAcentral lists this ribosomal RNA (224 nucleotides) under Ixodes scapularis (black-legged tick). Its description in RNAcentral is "eukaryotic small subunit ribosomal RNA". It matches the Rfam family "Eukaryotic small subunit ribosomal RNA", at positions 1229 to 1478 of the family's 1831-position model. The record is from RNAcentral. Lineage: Eukaryota; Metazoa; Arthropoda; Arachnida; Ixodida; Ixodidae.